This 1751-nucleotide long non-coding RNA is filed under the name Homo sapiens (human). Its description in RNAcentral is "non-protein coding lnc-ZC3HAV1-3:1". Lineage: Eukaryota; Metazoa; Chordata; Mammalia; Primates; Hominidae. The record is from RNAcentral.
AUUGUUAAUGUUAUUGUUGGGAAAGACAAAAAAGGCAGAAAGAUCCCAGAAUAUCUGAUCCAUUUUAAUGGCUGGAACAGAAGCUGGGAUAAGUGGGCAACUGAAGAUCAUGUGCUUCAUGAUACUGAUGAAAAUCGUAGAUUACAGCAUCAAUUGGCAAGAAAAGCUGUAGCUCGCCUGAGCAGCACAGGAAGAAAGAAGUGCUGCAGGUUGCCUGGUGUUGAUUGACUCUGUCUUAAAAGGCCUCCUCAUUGAUGAAAAAGAUGAAAAUGAUGAAAAUUCAUUAAGCAGUUCCUCUGGCAGCAGCAAAGGAUGAAGAAUAAGUGAAGAAAGUGAUAUUGAAGAAAAGACUGAAGUGAAAGAAGAACCAGAGCUUCAAACAAAAAGAGAAAUGGAAGAAACAACAGUAACUAUAGAAAUACCUGAAGUUCUGAAGCAGCAGAAGGAUGAUUGUUAUUACAUUAACAGGAGGAAAUGGUUAGUGAAACUUUCAUGCCAGACCAACAUCAUAAUGAUUUUGGAAGCAUUUUGCUCUCAAUGCAGCCUUUUCAGCCAAUGAGAGGCCUCGUCACCAUCAUGCUAUGCCACAUGCCAAUAUGAACGUGCAUUAUAUCCCAGAAGAAAAGAAUGUUGACCUUUUUAAGGAGAUGGUGGAUGGAUUAAGAAUAACCUUUGAUUACACUCUCCUGUUGGUUUUACUCUAUCCAUAUGAACAAACUCAGUAUAAAAAGGUGACUUUGCCGGGUGCGGUGGCUCACACCUGUAAUCUCAGCACUUUGGGAGGCCGAGGUGAGUGGAUCACCUGAGGUCAGGAGUUGGAGACCAGCCUGGCCAACAUGGCGAAACCUCGUCUCUAGUAAAAAUACAAAAAUUAGCCGGGCAUGGUGGCAGGAGCCUGUAAUCCCCAGCUACUCGGGAGGCUGAGGCAAGAAAAUCGCUUGAACCCAGGAGGCAGAGGUUGCAGUGAGCCGAGAUCACACCACUGCACUCCAGUCUGGGCAACAAGAGCGAGACUCCAUCUCAAAAAAAAAAAAAAAAAAAGGUGACUUUGUACAAGUUUUUUUUCCAAUUAAGGAAAGUGCCAUAAACACUAAUACGAUCCAGGAGGAACUCUCUCCCAGCCUGCCUUUGUUGAAUCCAUCCAUGCCACAGUCCACAGAGAGUCAGCCAACCAUUAGUGAACCAGCCACCCACAAAAGGCGCAAAGCUGAGUUGGAAGCAUUGCAGUCUCUGAGGUGGUCCCUGAGCCACACCACCAACUGUGACAGACUUUCUGACAGCAGCACCUCACCUCAGCCCAAGCGCCAGCAGCAGGACACAUCCGCCAGUAUAACCAAGCUGUUCCUGCACCUGGAAAAGAAGACACCCGUGCAUAGCAGAUUGUCUUCACCUAUUCCUCUGACUCCUAGCAAGGAAGGAAGUACAGUGUUCGCUGGCUUUGAAGGGAGAAAAACUAAUGAAAUGAACGAGGUCCUGUCCUGAAGCUUAUGCCUGACAAUUACCCACCAGGUGACCAGCCGCUUCCACCCUCUUACAUUUAUGGGGUAUAACAUUUGCUGCGAUUGUUUGUAAAACUUCCAGAAAUCCUUGGAAAGAUGUCCUUUUCUGAGAAAAAUCUGAAGGCUUUGUUGAAGCACUUUGAUCUCUAUUUGAGGUUUUUAGCAGAAUACCGUGAUUACUUUUUCCCAGAGUCAGCUUGUGUCGCUGCCUGUGAGGUGCAUUACAGCAGCAAGAAUCUCCGGGCAAUUUAU